Molecule: non-coding RNA, 619 nt
Organism: Gasterosteus aculeatus aculeatus (three-spined stickleback)
Lineage: Eukaryota; Metazoa; Chordata; Actinopteri; Perciformes; Gasterosteidae
Source: RefSeq, a predicted model, not a curated record
GUCUCGCUCUCAGAGACGUGGGAACUGUCCCUCACUGUUUGCUCUGAUGAUUAAUCAGAAAUUAUCCUUUUGGAGACACGUCCACAGGCUGUGAGCUUAGAGAAUAAGAGGGAGGAGAAGAUCCACCUGGCCAUCAGACUACAGGAGGAACCGUGUUUAUUAUUUGUAGAAGUUUCAUUAAUCCGGAAUCAUGCGUCCAGCUGUGCUAACCGCUGUCCUGCUCUCGGUGCUCUUCAUCAACGCCGUGACGUCACUGAACCUCGGCAAUCUGCCGCUGCGUGAAGAGCGAGCUCUCUUCGAUGCGCCACCAGAUGUUGCGGUUCCGGUGGCUCCCGCUCCACUGAACAUGCGGGCUUCCCGAGCUCUCUUCGAUGCGCAGCCAGAAGCUGCGGCUCCCGCUCCAAUGAACAUACGCGGUUAGCCCCGCAGGUCGACCGAGCCGUGGACCCGAACCAGAGAAACCUUGAAAUAAUUGGAGAGAUUUUCAAGUAUAUUUGCAUUGGAAAAAUGUGCAGGACGAAGUGAUCAUCAUCUGCUGAUGUGUUCCUUCUCUCUGUAAAGCUGCUCUGUGUUUCUAUAACCCGCCAACACGAGCUCCAAUAAACGCUUCAGCAUUCAA